UCUACGGGAGGCAGCAGUGGGGAAUAUUGGACAAUGGGGGAAACCCUGAUCCAGCCAUGCCGCGUGUGUGAAGAAGGCCUUUUGGUUGUAAAGCACUUUAAGCAGUGAAGAAGACCAUAUGGUUAAUACCCAUAUGCGAUGACAUUAGCUGCAGAAUAAGCGCCGGCUAACUCUGUGCCAGCAGCCGCGGUAAUA
This 195-nucleotide ribosomal RNA is filed under the name uncultured Psychrobacter sp. RNAcentral's name for it is "partial 16S ribosomal RNA". It matches the Rfam family "Bacterial small subunit ribosomal RNA", at positions 338 to 525 of the family's 1533-position model. Lineage: Bacteria; Pseudomonadati; Pseudomonadota; Gammaproteobacteria; Moraxellales; Moraxellaceae. The record is from RNAcentral.